CAUGCGGUCUACCAUGCAGUCGAACGAUGAAGCCCAGCUUGCUGGGUGGAUUAGUGGCGAACGGGUGAGUAACACGUGGGUGAUCUGCCCUGCACUCUGGGAUAAGCCUGGGAAACUGGGUCUAAUACCGGAUAUGACCUCGGGAUGCAUGUUCUGGGGUGGAAAGUUUUUCGGUGCAGGAUGAGCCCGCGGCCUAUCAGCUUGUUGGUGGGGUAAUGGCCUACCAAGGCGACGACGGGUAGCCGGCCUGAGAGGGCGACCGGCCACACUGGGACUGAGACACGGCCCAGACUCCUACGGGAGGCAGCAGUGGGGAAUAUUGCACAAUGGGCGCAAGCCUGAUGCAGCGACGCCGCGUGAGGGAUGACGGCCUUCGGGUUGUAAACCUCUUUCACCCAUGACGAAGCGCAAGUGACGGUAGUGGGAGAAGAAGCACCGGCCAACUACGUGCCAGCAGCCGCGGUAAUACGUAGGGUGCGAGCGUUGUCCGGAAUUACUGGGCGUAAAGAGCUCGUAGGCGGUUUGUCGCGUCGUCUGUGAAAUCCCGCAGCUCAACUGCGGGCUUGCAGGCGAUACGGGCAGACUCGAGUACUGCAGGGGAGACUGGAAUUCCUGGUGUAGCGGUGAAAUGCGCAGAUAUCAGGAGGAACACCGGUGGCGAAGGCGGGUCUCUGGGCAGUAACUGACGCUGAGGAGCGAAAGCGUGGGUAGCGAACAGGAUUAGAUACCCUGGUAGUCCACGCCGUAAACGGUGGGCGCUAGGUGUGGGUUUCCUUCCACGGGAUCCGUGCCGUAGCCAACGCAUUAAGCGCCCCGCCUGGGGAGUACGGCCGCAAGGCUAAAACUCAAAGGAAUUGACGGGGGCCCGCACAAGCGGCGGAGCAUGUGGAUUAAUUCGAUGCAACGCGAAGAACCUUACCUGGGUUUGACAUGUACCGGACGACUGCAGAGAUGUGGUUUCCCUUGUGGCCGGUAGACAGUGGUGCAUGGCUGUCGUCAGCUCGUGUCGUGAGGAUGUUUGGGUU
This 1025-nucleotide ribosomal RNA is filed under the name Rhodococcus sp. (in: high G+C Gram-positive bacteria). Its description in RNAcentral is "bacterial SSU rRNA". It matches the Rfam family "Bacterial small subunit ribosomal RNA", at positions 43 to 1082 of the family's 1533-position model. The record is from RNAcentral. Lineage: Bacteria; Bacillati; Actinomycetota; Actinomycetes; Mycobacteriales; Nocardiaceae.